RNAcentral lists this ribosomal RNA (487 nucleotides) under uncultured bacterium. RNAcentral's name for it is "bacterial SSU rRNA". It matches the Rfam family "Bacterial small subunit ribosomal RNA", at positions 501 to 987 of the family's 1533-position model. The record is from RNAcentral.
CUACGUGCCAGCAGCCGCGGUAAUACGUAGGUGGCAAGCGUUGUCCGGAUUUAUUGGGCGUAAAGCGAGCGCAGGCGGUUCCUUAAGUCUGAUGUGAAAGCCCCCGGCUCAACCGGGGAGGGUCAUUGGAAACUGGGGAACUUGAGUGCAGAAGAGGAGAGUGGAAUUCCAUGUGUAGCGGUGAAAUGCGUAGAGAUGUGGAGGAAUACCGAUGGCGAAGGCAGCCUCCUGGGAUAACACUGACGUUCAUGCUCGAAAGCGUGGGUAGCAAACAGGAUUAGAUACCCUGGUAGUCCACGCCCUAAACGAUGUCAAUUAGCUGUUGGGCAACUUGAUUGCUUAGUAGCGUAGCUAACGCGUGAAAUUGACCGCCUGGGGAGUACGGUCGCAAGAUUAAAACUCAAAGGAAUUGACGGGGGCCCGCACAAGCGGUGGAGUAUGUGGUUUAAUUCGACGCAACGCGAAGAACCUUACCAGGUCUUGACAU